RNAcentral lists this ribosomal RNA (293 nucleotides) under uncultured prokaryote. RNAcentral describes it as "partial 16S ribosomal RNA". It matches the Rfam family "Archaeal small subunit ribosomal RNA", at positions 455 to 747 of the family's 1478-position model. The record is from RNAcentral.
GUGUCAGCAGCCGCGGUAAUACCGGCAGCUCAAGUGAUGACCGAUUUUAUUGGGCCUAAAGCGUCCGUAGCUGGCCGCGCAAGUCUGUCGGGAAAUCCACCCGCUUAACGGGUGGGCGUCCGGCGGAAACUGUGCGGCUUGGGACAGGAAGGCUCGAGGGGUACGUUCGGGGUAGGAGUGAAAUCCCGUAAUCCUGGACGGACCGCCGAUGGCGAAAGCACGUCGCGAGGACGGAUCCGACAGUGAGGGACGAAAGCCAGGGUCUCGAACCGGAUUAGAAACCCCCGUAGUCC